GGUGCUGUGUGGGGGUUCUGUGUAUCCAUGGGAAGAUUUGGGAGUGUUUCAAGCACUAAUGAUGUUAAACAAGUUGAGUGGUGGGAAGAGAGUGAAUACACACUGGUUUACAGUGAUGUCUAUUGGAUCAGUUCUAACCUUGUGGUUAUGUUUAAGUGAUAAAAAAAAAAAACAGAGCUGGGAAUUUUCAUCUUUAAAAUAAAAACAGAUGCCUUUGGUGGAAGGGCUGCUCCACUUUCCCCCUUUCUGCUGCUCUCCGGAUUGAGACUGGAUUAAAGGGGGCUCCUUAGGCUCCAGGGCACAGGGUUAAUAUCUUAGGGACCCCAGGAAAAAACUGCUCUCCCCUGAGUUGAAUCAAUGCCACUGGGUAGUAGGGGCAACAGCUAGCCAUCUCCUAGCCCUAUUCUUGCUUGAAAGUGCUCCACUCCGGAGCUGAGUGCCACAGGGGGGUAUUGGUUAGCCAACACCUAGCCCUGGAAGCCCUCUCUUGAGCUUGAUUCCACUGGGGUAUAUCAGGGAACUGCUAACCAUCUGCUAGUCCUGGAAGUUAUUUGCUCUUAAUCUGUGGGCCACUGCGGUGUAUGGGGUGUUGCUAGCCACAUCCUAGCCCUGGAAGCCCUCUUCCGAACUGGGUAGCCACUGAAGAGUAUCAAGGAAACUGGUAGCCUGUGCAAAAGCCACUGCUUGGAAUAUAGAGCCUGAAACAAGACUCUGGGGACGGACAAAAGCCUGCUCUGGACACUUUCCUACAGGGAUAUACAGUGACAACCCCCUGAACUAAAUACUAAGGAGAAGCAGGAGAGCAGAAUUAAGAAGGAUCGCUGGUGUUGAAGAAAUUAGCAGGUUGUAGAAGCCAGAAAUCCAGCAAACUCCACGCUACAAAUCGCUGCCUGUGGAAGCUACACUUGGGGGCACCCAGCCUGAGCGUUUGUGGUCGCUCCUGGCACCGUCGCACUCGGCGCUGCCCAAAGAAUUCCACUUUCCCAGCCAAACCGGAGGGUGGGAAAGGGUAAGUGACAGAGCCUGACCCCGGAGCUACACACAGACCUGUCAGAUAUGGGAGAAUAAUAAGAAAAUCAUUGACACCUUUGCCUUCAGUACCAAUGAAAAUAUGCGCAGCCUGAAAAUGCUAAAUGGCCUGGAACUGCAACUGGAGAAAAGAGCUAGCACUCUAGAGGAUGUUUAAUGCGCCCCGCUCUUUCCUGCCGGGUCAGCGGAACAAAUUAACCCACAAGCUCUGUGCGCAAAGAACAGGGGCAAAUGGAUGGAAGACUUAGCGCUAAUUUUCAAGCAUAACGCAAACCCCGCAGAAGCAAAAGUUGAGUUUCAAACCACUAAUUAGCUUUGGUUAAUGAUUAUUAUAUUGCUUUUAAAACGAAAACUUUGUGCAGGGCCUGGUAUUGAAAGGGUUAACUUUGAAAAAAAAUAAAUAACAUUUUCAUUUUCCAUUUACAUCAAAUCAGAUCUUAAUCACAAAAGAACUUUCUAUAUUACAAGACCACCAGGCUUGCUCCUUGCAAAUGGUUUCAGGGGGGGGGAAAGUCACCACUGGCAUUACCCUGUCCUUCCAUCUUUGCCCUCUCUUGGGGGUUUAAAAUGAACCCAGAUAUGUGCUCAAUAGUUUUAUAUGGGGGGGGGUAAGAAAUGAGGAGUGGAAAUAAAAGUCCCCAUUUACAAAGAACCGGCACUUUCUGGAAAAAUCCAAUUUUACAGCAUAUUAAACUAUAUCUGGUACUGUG
Molecule: long non-coding RNA, 1739 nt
Organism: Xenopus tropicalis (tropical clawed frog)
Lineage: Eukaryota; Metazoa; Chordata; Amphibia; Anura; Pipidae
Exons: 2
Source: RefSeq, a predicted model, not a curated record